UCGAAUCUGUUAAUUCGUUGCGCGUCGAAAUUUUCUGAAUCAUCCGCAAAAGGUUUCAUGGGUAAUCGAAUUAGUAAUUCGAGGAGCGAAGAAUUCAAGUUGAUCCUAAUGGCGGGUGCUGAAAGAUGCAGAAAUGGUGAAGGGGCACCGUUGGUGGCACAAAAUGAUGAUCAUGGAUUUAACGGGCUUAUUCCUCAGUUAUUUACCUCACUACCAGCUCUAAAUGAAGCUGUUUUUCUCUUGCACAAACAACUAAUUACUUUACUGGGCUUUUUCUGAUAUUGCGGUAAGUUGUUUCUCUUCAUCUUGUAUUUCUGCUCUCCCUUUUCCGUCUGCAAUAUUUUUGUUGUACACAAGUCUCAUUUUUGUUCUUUUUUCCCUUCUUCUUUUCUG
Long non-coding RNA from Hibiscus syriacus, 393 nucleotides. RefSeq lists it as uncharacterized. Lineage: Eukaryota; Viridiplantae; Streptophyta; Magnoliopsida; Malvales; Malvaceae. The transcript is spliced from 3 exons. The record is from RefSeq and is a predicted model, not a curated record.